Molecule: ribosomal RNA, 800 nt
Filed under: Pectobacterium peruviense
Lineage: Bacteria; Pseudomonadati; Pseudomonadota; Gammaproteobacteria; Enterobacterales; Pectobacteriaceae
Description: bacterial LSU rRNA
Rfam family: Bacterial large subunit ribosomal RNA
Source: RNAcentral
GGGAGGCUUUGAAGCGAGGACGCCAGUUCUUGUGGAGCCAACCUUGAAAUACCACCCUUUAAUGUUUGAUGUUCUAACGUAGACCCGUAAUCCGGGUUGCGGACAGUGUCUGGUGGGUAGUUUGACUGGGGCGGUCUCCUCCCAAAGAGUAACGGAGGAGCACGAAGGUUAGCUAAUCCUGGUCGGACAUCAGGAGGUUAGUGCAAAGGCAUAAGCUAGCUUGACUGCGAGAGUGACAGCUCGAGCAGGUGCGAAAGCAGGUCUUAGUGAUCCGGUGGUUCUGAAUGGAAGGGCCAUCGCUCAACGGAUAAAAGGUACUCCGGGGAUAACAGGCUGAUACCGCCCAAGAGUUCAUAUCGACGGCGGUGUUUGGCACCUCGAUGUCGGCUCAUCACAUCCUGGGGCUGAAGUAGGUCCCAAGGGUAUGGCUGUUCGCCAUUUAAAGUGGUACGCGAGCUGGGUUUAGAACGUCGUGAGACAGUUCGGUCCCUAUCUGCCGUGGGCGUUGGAAGAUUGAGAGGGGUUGCUCCUAGUACGAGAGGACCGGAGUGAACGCACCACUGGUGUACGGGUUGUGAUGCCAAUUGCAUUGCCCGGUAGCUAAGUGCGGAAGAGAUAACCGCUGAAAGCAUCUAAGCGGGAAACUUGCCUCGAGAUGAGUCUUCCCUGGGCACUAGAUGCCCCUGAAGGGCCGUUGAAGACGACGACGUAGAUAGGCUGGGUGUGUAAGCGUAGCGAUACGUUGAGCUAACCAGUACUAAUGACCCGAGAGGCUUAACCUUACAACACCGAAGGUGUUU